GUUAUGAGCUUUAAAUUCAAAGAAUUUGGCGGUAUUUUAGUCUUGUUAGAGGAACCUGUUCUGUAAACGAUACUACACGAAGAAUCUUACUUACUUUUGUUUUCAGUUUGUAUACCGUCAUUAUUAGAUAACCUUUAUUGAGGGAGUUAUUGUAAUAUGUGGAGUCAGAUAUAUUAGAUCAAGGUGCAGCUUAUAGGUAAGAAGAAAUGGGUUACAAUAAAAUUUAUUUAAAUGUAUUAGUGGUUGAAUGAUUGUU
This 256-nucleotide ribosomal RNA is filed under the name Astacopsis franklinii. Its description in RNAcentral is "partial 12S ribosomal RNA". Lineage: Eukaryota; Metazoa; Arthropoda; Malacostraca; Decapoda; Parastacidae. The record is from RNAcentral.